AACCAUCUAUAUAAAGUACAAACAGAUCAGACAAUGAUUCUGAGCUUCUAAGUCAAUAAAGUUGACUUUAUUGUCAAUCUAAGUCAGCCCAGUAAAUAACUACUUAAAUUUACACUGUAAUUUUCCAGAAGCAGCCCCAGAGUCCCUGAGGUAAAGAGAGAAGGCACCUCCCUUUUUUCUGAUGCAGCGGAACAUACAAAACAAGGUUCCACUCUUAAAUGCUGUGUAUCCAGAAACUGCACGAAUCCAGUAAUUUUUCUCCAGACAUCAGUGUGUGCUUUAUGGGGAGGAAGAUACAUUUCCCAGAGACCUGUGAACAGAAAGGCUGAUUUGAUAUGCUCAGAGGAGUCUCUGCUGGAUGGGGCUGGUGUGUAAAGCAAGAGAAAGAAAGAAGGAUGGUGUGUGCAAGAUCAUCACACCACCAGCUGGGGCAGUGCAUUGCUCUACCGCAAAGCCAGGAUUGAAGCACUCACCAUAAUGCCUUUAUACCCAGCCAUCUUUGGAUCCCUAACAGAACCUGGAUUUGUAGCUAAAGACGAUACAGUUCCAGUCUUCACGAUAAACCACAACUUAUGGAGAUGUGGGAGUUCCCAAGCCGUCCCCUGAGGGCUCAUCUGAUCUGCAGCACAUCUCCCAGAGAGCCUCUGUGCGGUGUGGAGGCAGAUGGGCGGCAGUGGAACGCAGCGGUGGGUUUAUGGCUCUCUGUGGGAAAGACUUGGCAGCCCCCCCCCAACACACACACAACACCAGCCACCAGCUACUCGCUGCCAGCAGGCAGCAUUAGAUCAGCCUCCUCCAGCACUGCAGCCAGCAUUAGAUCAGUAUCACACAGCAACCUGGCACUCGCAGCCUACAGCAGGACACAUCUGCCCAGCCAGACCACUUGCACAGGGAGGGAGAGUCUGGCAGCGUCGGACUGAUGCUGAAAUAUGAUUCUCUGGAUGGCAGGACUGCUGACUGAAUGUUCUAAAACUAGAACAAAGUUGUUUACACUGUACAUCAAUUUCUUAUUGAAAAACAAGAAUUUUUGGGUUGUUUUUCCAGUGUAAGGACCCUUAAAGCCCAAUUAUGAAAAUUUAUUUUAGUGGUUCACACAGUGAGCUGAUGCUCAAGGACCCCGACCAUGCGAGGCUGAGCCAGCAUGAUUUACAGACUUCAACACAACAACCACGACAACAACAACUGCAAAACAAGGGUGAAGGUGGCAGAAGUGCAUGUUUAUACUGGUUCAGUCUCUUGAGAGCAGGCGGUCUCUACUACCAGUGCCCAUGCAUAUUUGAAGAUUGGUUGGCUGCUAAUGUUCAAACCCGGUCCUGCUCCAUCAGGAUUAGAGAAGAUUAAAGGGAAAAAGAAAGUUGGAAGAAUGCAGAAAGUUGAUCAGUCACUUGGACGUCACAUGUACUACGAUGAGCUUCACUGAUGUUACAGAGUGCGAGAGAGAGAAAGAGGGAGAGAGACAGAGAUAAAAAGAGGAUGCGAGUGAGUGAGAGCAGAGUCAGAUUUCACUUCAUUAUGACUGCAGGAUUAGCCGAACAUCUUUGCUAUUCUAUCUGCAGGCGACGACUGUUUUAAUACUCUGCCCCGUGCGCUCGCUGUGUCUCGAUGUAAAUGUGACGAGCAUGUGGAUUUAAAAAGCUUCUAAUCUGCGCUUGAUGAAAAUAUGGACUGAGGGCUUGACAGACACCUAGAGUUACACUUUGAAGGGCAUUCUAUACAACUUCUAUACAUGCUGCUGUGACAGAACAAGAGGAACGCAGGCAGUGCUGAAUUUAAGUAUGACAAAGAAUGAUCUGAGCGUUUACACACAAAUGUAAAGGUCUAAAGGUGCUUUAGAUGGUUCUUUGAGCAAUGCCAUAAAAUAACCUUUACAUUAUGUGAUCUUGUAAAGGUUAUUCACUCUCAGUAAACUCUUUAUAAAACCCUCUAUAAAAACAUGCUAUGGAUAUAUAGAACACAAAGUGUCUUAUCUAUAGCAUCAUUAAAAAUAGCCCUUCGAAGCACCUUUAUUUUAAGGGGCUAGCUAAAUAGCUUGCCCAGGCAUCAACAUAUUGCUUCUUGCAUCUCCAUACUGCCAGCUAUACAGGAGAAGGAUAUAAUCUGCUUGAAUUUCAAUUGAAGUAAUUAUUAAAAGAUGAAUUGUCAGAGUUAUUUAUUUUAUGGUGCUUUACACCAAUAAGCAUGACAGUACUUAGAACAGAGUAAAGCUUGAAGAAGUUUACACAUCAUGCUUUAGCCCCUGUUUGGCUUACUUGGAACAAUAAGACCAGGUACCAAGUUCCAGGUAACAGGUACUAAAUUAAACAAUUCAAGUUGAGUAGUCUAAGUACAUUCUUUAGACAGGUGUCAUAAAACAUAUUGUGCAGAAUUGAGAAAGGAAAACUAUUUGAGCUUAAAAAUAUACAUACAGGCAGGGAGUAAAAAAAGAAAAGGAAAAAAAGGAAGGAAGACGAACAUCAAAUAGAGCUAUUAUCAGUUUGUGUGACUGCUCCCACCCUUUUAUUAGGCCUCUCUCCUCCAAACCUGCUAAAGAGAAAAAAAACUCUGUAUUUUAAUUGCAUUUUAUUCCUUUAUUUGGCUACACUGGACGCCUCACUUGAAGCACUCCUCCUCUUUGAAAACACUCUGUGCUGAGAAAAAAGAGAGAGAGAGAACAAUUUUGACAUAAAUUCAAAGACGUUCCUCGAACAGAAGGAGAGAGUGACAACCGUUUACGUUGGCUGCGCAGCCUUGCAGUGAACACCAGGCAAAACAGAAUAAUUGAUAUGAUUCCGUAUAAUUAAUUUAUACAGUAAAACUCUGCCGAUGGCAUCUUGGUUUUCAGCACUACUGAGUAGGGGGAUGAUGAUAAGCAUACGAGUGGUUAUCAUUAGUCCAGCUGUGGAAGGAUUUCUUUUGUUGUGAUAAUUUCGCCCAUAUUUGCUCUUCCAAUUUUUCAAGUAUUAUUUAAAUUAGCUUGGGGGACCCAAUUCUGUCCUAAACUUCUGCUGCAAAUGGUAAUGAUGCUGCGCCAAAAAACAAUGUUCAUGUAUUCUAGACACUUAAAAAAGUUCUCUAUGUAUCCUAAAGUUUAAAAACACACAUAUGGUAACAUUUAUCAUGCUCAUCAUUUACUGUUCCACUUAUGAUGUUCCAUAAAGUUUUUUAUGCUAAAACCAUAUACUGUCACUGAUUUCUACCUGAACAUUGUUUUAAAGCCCUUAUACAUAGUUUUGUUUGGAGUGUAUUUCUAUCAUACAUUAUUGUUUUAUUAAUUAAUCAGAACAUAUUUUAAGCUUUUUUUAUCCUAUAGAUUCCAACAGGCUGAUUAUAUCACUGUGUUAUUUAGUUAUGAUGUGAUUAGCAGCACUGUAGUGGCAUAGAGAAGUAAAGAAUAGUGUAAAGAAAAUAACUUAAAGAAGAAAAAUGGAAAUAAAAAGAUAGAUAGGUACAGAAGGUACAGAGAAAAGGGUGAAAAAAGAGGUGGAGAAAAAAAAGAACAGAAAAGAUGAAAUGUAGGGAGAAAAGAAUGGAAAAGAAAGGUGGAGAAAAACAAAUGGAAAUAAAAGAGGAAAGAAAGAUUGAACAGAAGAGAUAAAAGAAUAGGGACAAAGAAAAAGAAAGAUGAGGGCAGAAACGAAAAAAAGCUAACACAUAACCUUAGUAUGAAGAGGUGCAGCUUAAAUGCUGUAGGCCUUAUUUGUCAAUUUAUGCAAAUUGAACUUUGGUGACAUCACAAAACAAUGCAUUUAAAAUGGGCAUCUUCAUUUCUAUAUAUUGAGGUAGAACAGUGAAUUGUACAUGUAUACAUACGCUAAUACAAUCUUUCAUUUUAAAAAUGAAUCACAUUUGUUUUGGUUAUUGAUACUGUGCAUUUAA
Molecule: RNA transcript, 3855 nt
Organism: Astyanax mexicanus (Mexican tetra)
Lineage: Eukaryota; Metazoa; Chordata; Actinopteri; Characiformes; Acestrorhamphidae
Exons: 6
Source: RefSeq, a predicted model, not a curated record